RNAcentral lists this ribosomal RNA (465 nucleotides) under Vreelandella stevensii. RNAcentral describes it as "partial 16S ribosomal RNA". It matches the Rfam family "Bacterial small subunit ribosomal RNA", at positions 338 to 795 of the family's 1533-position model. Lineage: Bacteria; Pseudomonadati; Pseudomonadota; Gammaproteobacteria; Oceanospirillales; Halomonadaceae. The record is from RNAcentral.
CCUACGGGUGGCAGCAGUGGGGAAUAUUGGACAAUGGGGGCAACCCUGAUCCAGCCAUGCCGCGUGUGUGAAGAAGGCCCUCGGGUUGUAAAGCACUUUGAGUGAGGAAGAACGCCUGGUGGUUAAUACCCAUCAGGAAAGACAUCACUCACAGAAGAAGCACCGGCUAACUCCGUGCCAGCAGCCGCGGUAAUACGGAGGGUGCGAGCGUUAAUCGGAAUUACUGGGCGUAAAGCGCGCGUAGGUGGCUUGAUAAGCCGGUUGUGAAAGCCCCGGGCUCAACCUGGGAACGGCAUCCGGAACUGUCAAGCUGGAGUGCAGGAGAGGAAGGUAGAAUUCCCGGUGUAGCGGUGAAAUGCGUAGAGAUCGGGAGGAAUACCAGUGGCGAAGGCGGCCUUCUGGACUGACACUGACACUGAGGUGCGAAAGCGUGGGUAGCAAACAGGAUUAGAUACCCCAGUAGUC